Molecule: ribosomal RNA, 603 nt
Filed under: uncultured bacterium
Lineage: Bacteria
Description: bacterial SSU rRNA
Rfam family: Bacterial small subunit ribosomal RNA (bases 1-517)
Source: RNAcentral
CCUACGGGAGGCAGCAGUGGGGAAUCUUGCGCAAUGGGCGAAAGCCUGACGCAGCCAUGCCGCGUGUAUGAUGAAGGUCUUAGGAUUGUAAAAUACUUUCACCGGUGAAGAUAAUGACUGUAGCCGGAGAAGAAGCCCCGGCUAACUUCGUGCCAGCAGCCGCGGUAAUACGAAGGGGGCUAGCGUUGCUCGGAAUUACUGGGCGUAAAGGGAGCGUAGGCGGACAUUUAAGUCAGAGGUGAAAUCCCGGAGCUUAACUUCGGAACUGCCUUUGAUACUGGGUGUCUUGAGUGUGAGAGAGGUAUGUGGAACUCCGAGUGUAGAGGUGAAAUUCGUAGAUAUUCGGAAGAACACCAGUGGCGAAGGCGACAUACUGGCUCAUUACUGACGCUGAGGCUCGAAAGCGUGGGGAGCAAACAGGAUUAGAUACCCUGGUAGUCCACGCCGUAAACGAUGAUUGCUAGUUGUCGGGAAGCUUGCUUCUCGGUGACGCNGCUACGCAUAAGUACACUCCGCCGUGGGAGGUACGGUCGCGAGAAUUAAAACGUUAAAAGUAAGUUAGACGCGNGAGAGUCGACCGACGACGACGACGAGGGAGGUAGG